RNAcentral lists this ribosomal RNA (503 nucleotides) under uncultured bacterium. RNAcentral's name for it is "partial 16S ribosomal RNA". It matches the Rfam family "Bacterial small subunit ribosomal RNA", at positions 30 to 523 of the family's 1533-position model. The record is from RNAcentral.
AUUGAACGCUGGCGGCAGGCUUAACACAUGCAAGUCGAGCGGGGUGAUGGUGAUUGCCCUAUCACUUAGCGGCGGACGGGUGAGUAAUGCUUAGGAAUCUGCCUAUUAGUGGGGGACAACAUCUCGAAAGGGAUGCUAAUACCGCAUACGUCCUACGGGAGAAAGCAGGGGAUCACUUGUGACCUUGCGCUAAUAGAUGAGCCUAAGUCGGAUUAGCUAGUUGGUGGGGUAAAGGCCUACCAAGGCGACGAUCUGUAGCGGGUCUGAGAGGAUGAUCCGCCACACUGGGAUUGUGACACGGCCCAGGAUCAGACGUGAGGCAGCAGUGGGAAAUACUGCACAAUGGGGGGAACCCUGAGCGAGCCAUGCCGCGUGUGUAAAUAAGGCCUUAUGGUUGUAAAGCACUUUAAGCGAGGAGGAGGCUCUUUUGGUUAAUACCCAAGAUGAGUUGACGUUACUCGCAGAAUAAGCACCGGCUAACUCUGUGCCAGCCGCCGCGGUAA